GAUGAACGCUGGCGGCGUGCCUAAUACAUGCAAGUCGAGCGAACAGACGAGGAGCUUGCUCCUCUGAUGUUAGCGGCGGACGGGUGAGUAACACGUGGAUAACCUACCUAUAAGACUGGGAUAACUUCGGGAAACCGGAGCUAAUACCGGAUAACAUGUUGAACCGCAUGGUUCAACAGUGAAAGACGGUCUUGCUGUCACUUAUAGAUGGAUCCGCGCCGCAUUAGCUAGUUGGUAAGGUAACGGCUUACCAAGGCAACGAUGCGUAGCCGACCUGAGAGGGUGAUCGGCCACACUGGAACUGAGACGCGGUCCAGGCUCCUACGGGAGGCAGCAGUAGGGAAUCUUCCGCAAUGGGCGAAAGCCUGACGGAGCAACGCCGCGUGAGUGAAGAAGGUCUUCGGAUCGUAAAACUCUGUUAUUAGGGAAGAACAAAUGUGUAAGUAACUAUGCACGUCUUGACGGUACCUAAUCAGAAAGCCACGGCUAACUACGUG
RNAcentral lists this ribosomal RNA (497 nucleotides) under uncultured bacterium. Its description in RNAcentral is "partial 16S ribosomal RNA". It matches the Rfam family "Bacterial small subunit ribosomal RNA", at positions 28 to 507 of the family's 1533-position model. The record is from RNAcentral.